GUAAUUUUCAUUUAAAAUUUUACAAUUUUUAAAAAUCAACUCACCGAUAAGUUUCAUUUUAUCAGACGUAGGCUACCUAAUGGGAUCUGUUUAUAAUUCGAACGCGUAAAUUAACGUACUUUAUCGGACACACAGGAGUCAUCAUUUGAAUAUUUGUACCUACGCGAGUGCAGGAAGACUCAUUUGUACUUGGACUUACACACGUACCUAGACCAACGUGAAUAUUUGAAAGGUACUUGAAAAAAAACAACAACUACAUAGUCAUCAAUCAAUACUUUACUAUGCAUGAGUCUUUGUAAUAUUACGCGUACUUACCUAUAGAAAAACCAGAAAUUCAAGUCACGAGUAACGUUUGUGUCUGUGGUUGUUUUUUUUCGAAAAAAAAAAUGUUCAUUUAUACUUACCUGCGAUUGAAUUUCCAGGAAUAAAAACACCACCUACAAUUUCAUGUUCCAUGCACCUAUAAUUAAGGCUUAGGUACUCAAUGAUUCAUUUGAUGACUAUAUAUCUACGUAAUACAUAGUUCAUAUAAAUUUUUUUUCCAAAUAUAAUACCAUAAAGUACUCGUACCUAGGUACAUUUCAAUUUAAAUUUGUAGAGGUUGAAAAUCCUCAAUACCAUGUAACAGAUUGCAGCAAAUAUACCUACUACUAUUUAACGUAGGUAUAAAAAAAAAUCAGAUGGACGAGGUGUAAAUUUUUACAUUUGUGUUGAUCGAUGUUCAAUGUUCAAAUUGUGCUCAAAUUCUAAUAAAAAUCGGUUUAUGGAA
Planococcus citri (citrus mealybug) is the source of this 769-nucleotide long non-coding RNA. RefSeq lists it as uncharacterized. Lineage: Eukaryota; Metazoa; Arthropoda; Insecta; Hemiptera; Pseudococcidae. The record is from RefSeq and is a predicted model, not a curated record. The transcript has 2 exons.